This 247-nucleotide ribosomal RNA is filed under the name uncultured Actinomycetes bacterium. RNAcentral's name for it is "uncultured actinobacterium partial 16S ribosomal RNA". It matches the Rfam family "Bacterial small subunit ribosomal RNA", at positions 28 to 276 of the family's 1533-position model. The record is from RNAcentral. Lineage: Bacteria; Bacillati; Actinomycetota; Actinomycetes.
GACGAACGCUGGCGGCGUGCUUAACACAUGCAAGUCGAGCGGUAAGGCCCUUUCGGGGGUACAUGAGCGGCGAACGGGUGAGUAACACGUGGGUGACCUGCCCUUAGCUCUGGGAUAAGCCUGGGAAACUGGGUCUAAUACCGGAUAUGACUCCAUGACGCAUGUUGUGGGGUGGAAAGCCUUGUGCGGCUGGGGAUGGGCCCGCGGCCUAUCAGCUUGUUGGUGGGGUAACGGCCUACCAAGCCUA